UGGGGAAUAUUGCACAAUGGGCGCAAGCCUGAUGCAGCCAUGCCGCGUGUGUGAAGAAGGCCUUCGGGUUGUAAAGCACUUUCAGCGAGGAGGAAGGUGGUGGACUUAAUACGUUCAUCAAUUGACGUUACUCGCAGAAGAAGCACCGGCUAACUCCGUGCCAGCAGCCGCGGUAAUACGGAGGGUGCAAGCGUUAAUCGGAAUUACUGGGCGUAAAGCGCACGCAGGCGGUUUGUUAAGUCAGAUGUGAAAUCCCCGGGCUCAACCUGGGAACUGCAUUUGAAACUGGCAAGCUAGAGUCUCGUAGAGGGGGGUAGAAUUCCAGGUGUAGCGGUGAAAUGCGUAGAGAUCUGGAGGAAUACCGGUGGCGAAGGCGGCCCCCCUGGACGAAGACUGACGCUCAGGUGCGAAAAGCGUGGGGCAGCAAACAGGAUUAGAUACCCUGGUAGUCCACGCUGUAAAACGAUGUCGAUUUGGAGGUUGUGCCCCUUGAGGCGUGGNUUCCGGAGCUAACG
Molecule: ribosomal RNA, 515 nt
Filed under: uncultured bacterium
Lineage: Bacteria
Description: partial 16S ribosomal RNA
Rfam family: Bacterial small subunit ribosomal RNA
Source: RNAcentral